GGGUAUGAUCAUACCCUCACUAAUGCACUGAUCCCAUCAGAACUCCGCAGUUAAGCGUGCCUGGGCGAUAGUAGUACUAGGAUGGGUGACCUCUGGGAAAUUCCUCGUGUUGCACCCC
This 118-nucleotide ribosomal RNA is filed under the name Gossypium arboreum. Lineage: Eukaryota; Viridiplantae; Streptophyta; Magnoliopsida; Malvales; Malvaceae. The record is from RNAcentral.